AUAUUAUGUUCAUACCGCAGACAGCAGGUGCAUAUGCAUAAAUCCUGCCUAGGUGUAAGAAUGACUUUCUUGAUUAAGAAGUUGAUCCCUUGCGCCUUCGGGUGCAGGGGUUUUUAUAUG
Molecule: small RNA, 120 nt
Filed under: zebrafish metagenome
Description: Ribosomal protein L10 leader
Rfam family: Ribosomal protein L10 leader
About the family: This family is a putative r-protein leader autoregulatory structure found in B. subtilis and other low-GC Gram-positive bacteria.
Source: RNAcentral